Molecule: ribosomal RNA, 483 nt
Filed under: uncultured bacterium
Lineage: Bacteria
Description: partial 16S ribosomal RNA
Rfam family: Bacterial small subunit ribosomal RNA
Source: RNAcentral
UUGAACGCUGGCGGCAGGCCUAACACAUGCCAGUCGAGCGGAUGAAGGGAGCUUGCUCCUGGAUUCAGCGGCGGACGGGUGAGUAAUGCCUAGGAAUCUGCCUGGUAGUGGGGGAUAACGUCCGGAAACGGGCGCUAAUACCGCAUACGUCCUGAGGGAGAAAGUGGGGGAUCUUCGGACCUCACGCUAUCAGAUGAGCCUAGGUCGGAUUAGCUAGUUGGUGGGGUAAAGGCCUACCAAGGCGACGAUCCGUAACUGGUCUGAGAGGAUGAUCAGUCACACUGGAACUGGAAGACGGUCCAGACUCCUACGGGAGGCAGCAGUGGGGAAUAUUGGACAAUGGGCGAAAGCCUGAUCCAGCCAUGCCGCGUGUGUGAAGAAGGUCUUCGGAUUGUAAAGCACUUUAAGUUGGGAAGAAGGGCAGUAAGUUAAUACCUUGCUGUUUUGACGUUACCAACAGAAUAAGCACCGGCUAACUUCGUG